AACGAACGCUGGCGGCAUGCCUAACACAUGCAAGUCGAACGAGACCUUCGGGUCUAGUGGCGCACGGGUGCGUAACGCGUGGGAACCUGCCCUUAGGUUCGGAAUAACUCCCCGAAAGGGGUGCUAAUACCGGAUAAUGUCUUCGGACCAAAGAUUUAUCGCCUUUGGAUGGGCCCGCGUUGGAUUAGCUAGUUGGUAGGGUAAAAGCCUACCAAGGCGACGAUCCAUAGCUGGUCUGAGAGGAUGAUCAGCCACACUGGGACUGAGACACGGCCCAGACUCCGACGGGAGGCAGCAGUGGGGAAUAAUGGACAAUGGGCGAAAGCCUGAUCCAGCAAUGCCGCGUGAGUGAUGAAGGCCUUAGGGUUGUAAAGCUCUUUUACCCGGGAUGAUAAUGACAGUACCGGGAGAAUAAGCUCCGGCUAACUCCGU
RNAcentral lists this ribosomal RNA (432 nucleotides) under uncultured bacterium. RNAcentral's name for it is "partial 16S ribosomal RNA". It matches the Rfam family "Bacterial small subunit ribosomal RNA", at positions 29 to 506 of the family's 1533-position model. The record is from RNAcentral.